This 3331-nucleotide ribosomal RNA is filed under the name Funneliformis mosseae. RNAcentral describes it as "large subunit ribosomal RNA". It matches the Rfam family "Bacterial large subunit ribosomal RNA". The record is from RNAcentral. Lineage: Eukaryota; Fungi; Glomeromycota; Glomeromycetes; Glomerales; Glomeraceae.
AGCGAUCUGGAAUGUAAAACCAAGUAUAACAAAGGGGCCACUAGGGAUGACUUGGCAAUGGACCGGAAUGAGGUCAAAUCCAAACUGUCGAAUCCUUAACACGGGUAUGGGAUCCAACCCGGUCUCGACGAUCAAGGCCAAAAGGUACCCCGCCUACCCUGGGAACUGAAACAUCUUAUGUACCAGGAGGAAAGGAAAUCAACCGAGACUCCACAAGUAGUGGCGAGCGAACGUGGACAAGCUAUCUCUGUCAGGUCACGAGCUCAGACACAAACAAUGGCUUGGAAUAGCUAGCCAUAGAUGGUGAUAGCCCAGUGAUGGCACUUUGCUCACCCACCCCCGGCCUUGGCAAGAGUACCCAGCCGGUGCCCGGGAGAAUUGGCGGCUUGCCAAGCUGCUUUUAUACUACCCUGCCUUACGCAAUUCCAUCGCGUAAGGCAGGAAGGGUGAUCCAUCAUCAAGGCUAAGUAUGCUCCAUUGACCGAUAGUGCAGAGUACCGUGAGGGAAGGUUGAAAAAGCAGGUAGUAAACUGGUGAAAAGCCUGAACUAGUGGCUCCACAAGCAGCUGGAAUCACAGCAGCCAUUGGCUCCGGCCCAUGGCCGGCUCAAUGUGGGAUGACAGCGUACCUUUUGCAUAAUGGGUUACCGACCAUCAGACCCGAACCCAGGUGAUCUUGCCAUGGCCAAGUGCUGUUUCAUAAGACUGAACGGGUGGUCCGUUGCAAGGGGCUCCGAUGAGCUGUGGCAAGGGGUGAAAAGGCCAAUCUAACCUGGAGAUUAGCUGGUCUUCCGCGAAACCCGUUUUAGCGGGUCGCCCAUCAUUGUAACUAAAUUCGUUACUAGACGGUACGGCACUGGAAGCCACGCAGCUUUGCUGCAUAAUCGGGGGGCUGUCAUGGCUCUAUCGAUGGCUUCUAACCCCGGAAAUGUAUAGUAUACAAAGGUGGGCAAUCAGACGUAUCGUGAUAAGGCGAUUCGUCAAAAGGGCAACAGCCCAGAACAGGCGCUAAGGUCCCUAAGAACUACUGAGUGAACACAAGGCAGUCCUCUCCAGUGUCUCUCCACCAAGUGGGCUUGGAAGCAGCCACCUUUUAGCGAAAGCGUAACAGCUCAGUGGUCUGAGCUCCCCUGCCAUUUCGGCAUUUCUCUUCUAGCCCCUCCCCCCCCUCGGCCCACCCUCGGCCCAAGGACUGAGGGCCCUUGGUCCUCAGGCCGGGGAGGACUGAGGGCCCUUGGUCCUCAGGCCGGGGUGGCCGUAGGACCGCUGGGCGGCGACAUUUGUCCCGGGUCGCCCUGUGGCCACUCGGCACAGCCGGCCACAGGUUAGGUCCGAGGACCAAGGAAGGAAGGGAGGGGCUCAGCGGGGGGGCCCUCAACGAGGUAGAUGCCCUCGUUGAGGACCUUGGGGGUGCCAAAAUCGCCUAGUGAGGGCGCCGAGAAUGUAACGGGUCUAUAGUAGUUAAGUCACCCUAACCUAGAUUAGAGCGUAGCCACUGUUCAGAGCAGCAACAUUGACAAGGGCCCUUGUCAUGGUUCUUGUGAUCUGUUCUUGCUUGAUCCACCUCGGCUUGCCAAAGACGGAGCCUCUGGCUGUUGCCGGCUCGGACAGGCACCUUCGGUGUCUGCUGAGCCCCCCGGCCUGAGGACCAAGGGCCCUCAGUCCUUGGGCCGAGGGGGGCGGCGACCGCCGAAGGCGAACCUUCGCUUGUAAGGCAACAAACACGGGGCCUAUCUUUUUAGGUAUCUGAUUCUAGGUUACGAGGUGGCGUGGCAGCCGGCACAGGCGCAGAGCUCCUCCGCCUGCCUCACCGAAACCCUGUCCUAGGCGCGGGGUAGCGGAAUACCCAGCAAAUGGAAUGAAGGUGGCUCAUCGAGCCGGUGGACAUAGCUGGGCUGAGAAUGCUGACAUGAGUAGCCUCAAAAGAGGGGUAUUCCCUCUUCGCCGGAAGCAGAAGGGUUUCAUAUGUUAGGUCCAUACCAGCAUGAGUAAAGCAGCGGCCUCUAAGGCAGCUUAGGGUGGCGGAGUGCCGAUGAGUAACUCUUCUGUAGGGCAGUAACCUUCCUUACAAGUAUACCUGGGUCUGCCUGACCCGACCUGAUCCCCGCCUUCGGCCCCUCGGUCCUCAACGAGGGCAUCGUACCUCGGCCGAGGGCCAGGACUAGGGGCCACCCUGUGGUCCUACGGCCACCCCGGCCUGAGGACCAAGGGCCCUCAGUCCUUGGCCUUGGACCCCGGCCAAAGUACCAGGUAAUCAGAGGUAUACUUCAUGGGAAAAAGGUUCGGGAAAGAGCUCUACGGAAACCCCUGACCCUUGGCCCAGACGCCGCCUCCGGCCCAAGGACGGGGCGCCCUUGGGCCGAGGGGGGCGGCAAACGUCGAGCUUAGCAGGAACUACAGCGGAACGGAGCAGGGGGAGACGUCUGGAAAAGUACAGCCAACCGUACCCUAAACCGACACUGGUCUGCUGGUAGAGCAUACCAAGGCGUAGAGGUAAUCGUCUUGAAGGAACUCGGCAAGAUGACCCCGUAACUUAGGGAGAAGGGGUGCCACUAGUUAGGUGGCGGCACUAAACAGGGGGGCGCGACUGUUUACUUAAAACACCGGACUCUGCUAACACUAGCGUGGAUGUAUAGAGUCUGAGACCUGCCCGAUGCUAGAUAAUCAACUAAGCCGUUCUAGGAUGGCAAGGGAAGCUCUAGUCAAUGGCGGCUGUAACCUUGACGGUCCUAAGGUAGCGAAAUUUCUUGGCAUUUAAAUGAUGUCCCGCAUGAAUGGUUGAACGAAGCUCCUACUGUCUCCAAGACGAGCUCGGCGAAAUUGAAUUAUCCGUGAAGAUGCGGAUUACCCCCAGCUAGACGAGACAAGGGAUAACAGGCUGAUCCCCCACGAGAGUCCAUAUUGACUGGGGGGGUUGGCACCUCGAUGUCGGCUCAUCCUAUCCUAGAGCUGUAUAAGGUUCUAAGGGUUCGGCUGUUCGCCGAGUAAAAGGGUACGUUGAGCUGGGUUAAGUACGACGCGAGUCAGUACGGCUUCUAUCUACUGGGGGGAGUUGGAAGUAAGGAGGAAGCUGUUUUUAGUACGCGAGGACUUAAAUGGAGCGACCUCUGGUUUACCAGUUAUCAGCGGCCAAUAAGGCGUAUGGUACGGCUGGAAAGCUACGUCGCGAAUAGAUAACCGCUGAAACCAUAUAAAGCGGGAAACUAAUCCUCUAUACUUCCUUAUAAACUUAGGGUAGAUCACCCUCUUGAUAGGGCACCUGGGUGCAAGAGCAGUAAUGCUUUCAGCCACAGGCUACUAAUGGUUAAGAAACUUGGUUUUACCAGAUCGUU